This 253-nucleotide ribosomal RNA is filed under the name uncultured bacterium. RNAcentral's name for it is "partial 16S ribosomal RNA". It matches the Rfam family "Bacterial small subunit ribosomal RNA", at positions 524 to 776 of the family's 1533-position model. The record is from RNAcentral.
UACGUAGGCAGCAAGCGUUGUUCGGAGUUACUGGGCGUAAAGAGUGCGUAGGCGGUGCCCUAAGUCUGUUGUGAAAUCUCCCGGCUUAACUGGGAGGGUGCGGUGGAAACUGGGGUGCUUGAGUGUGGGAGAGGUAAGCGGAAUUCCUGGUGUAGCGGUGAAAUGCGUAGAUAUCAGGAGGAACACCGGUGGUGUAGACGGCUUACUGGACCACGACUGACACUGAGGCACGAAAGCGUGGGUAGCAAACAGG